UAAAACUCUGCCCGGCCAAGGAAACCACUUUGGCUUUGGUUUGCAAAUGCCCAAAUCUGCAGACCGAGUACACAAGAAAGGAAGGAUAUUGAGUAAUUGAAAUCAUUAGCAGAAAUUGAGAAUAAAGAGUGUGUGAGAGAGAUAGUGACCUGUGCAAGGACAUGCUUGGGCAAACCGGAGCCUUGGAAGAAGGAGACGGCCUCGGCACCGCUGAUACGGCCGUCGCGAUCCAAAUCGGCGCGUCGAAAAUAAGCAUCGAAUAGAUCGACAUUAGGCGCUGCCGAUGCCAUUGCAGAAUUCAACAGCACCGCC
Vigna angularis (adzuki bean) is the source of this 312-nucleotide long non-coding RNA. RefSeq lists it as uncharacterized. Lineage: Eukaryota; Viridiplantae; Streptophyta; Magnoliopsida; Fabales; Fabaceae. The record is from RefSeq and is a predicted model, not a curated record. The transcript has 2 exons.